RNAcentral lists this long non-coding RNA (581 nucleotides) under Coturnix japonica (Japanese quail). Its description in RNAcentral is "lncRNA (ENSCJPG00005020778.1)". The record is from RNAcentral. Lineage: Eukaryota; Metazoa; Chordata; Aves; Galliformes; Phasianidae.
ACUAUUAAGACGGAAUAAUUCAUACUGAAUUCUGCUCUUAAUGUUUUGGUAGAUCUGGAUGUACUCCGCCUAUGAUCUGGAUGUGGAUAGGGUUUCUCUGUCUGUGCUUCUGGCAAAUGUGGUCUGAUUCAGUCAUAGCCUCAAAUAUCAGCAGCUUUACUGGAAAAUGGAGUGACCAGUGGAUUAAACAAAUGAGAGGGCUGGAAAUGGGUCUGCUUCAAGUCUUAGCAUGUACUUCGGGGAGCGAUAUCUGGAGAUGGUGGAGGUUAAACUUGGAAUUAAGGUCUGUAGGUCUGAUGAGAGGUACAAGAACAAGCGAAGAUUUCACUCUUUUCUCCUCCCUUUACAACACAGUUGUGUAUCCUCCGUUGUCAUCGUGGAAAAUGAGACCACCUUCACCGCACAUUUGUUUCAAGGCAUUCAAUUGUGACACUCAGAUAAUGAUGUUUGGUGCCCUUUCCUUCUUGCUUACCUAAAUCUGUUUGAAGAGCCCUUGAGAUAAGCAUAGGAACACUGCAACCACAGGUGAAAUCUCUCAUUUCUUUGGCCAUUAAUAGAUUACCAUGAUCUGCUUUGGUUUG